This 122-nucleotide small nucleolar RNA is filed under the name Castor canadensis (American beaver). Its description in RNAcentral is "Small nucleolar RNA SNORA73 family (ENSCCNG00000014200.1)". It matches the Rfam family "Small nucleolar RNA SNORA73 family". Rfam says of the family: U17 (SNORA73A and SNORA73B) also known as E1 belongs to the H/ACA class of small nucleolar RNAs (snoRNAs). Lineage: Eukaryota; Metazoa; Chordata; Mammalia; Rodentia; Castoridae. The record is from Rfam by way of RNAcentral.
CAGAGGUUUUGAGAGAAGUGCCCUGAAAGCUUUAAAAGUCAUUGUGUGCACCUGCAUAUUCCUAUGACUUCUCAGAGUCCUCUGGACAAUUACUGGGGAGAUAAACCAUGCAGGAAACACUA